This is a small nucleolar RNA of Cheilinus undulatus (humphead wrasse), 189 nucleotides long. RefSeq annotates it as small nucleolar RNA SNORA53. The transcript has a single exon. Lineage: Eukaryota; Metazoa; Chordata; Actinopteri; Labriformes; Labridae. The record is from RefSeq and is a predicted model, not a curated record.
AACACGCUCCUUAGAUCCACCUCUGGAGGGCGCUGUGCUCUCAGCAGCUUUGUGGCUGUACGGUCAGAGGUGCUUGAGUCAUUGGCGUGUGAGAACAGUCCACCUGUCGCCCCAGCCCACCUGCAGCACUGGCAACCCUGUUGAACUGACUGGGAGACCCCAGUGCUGCGAGUCUGGGGGACGGACAAA